CGGGUGAGUAAUGUAUGGGGAUCUGCCUGAUGGCGGGGGAUAACUACUGGAAACGGUAGCUAAUACCGCAUAAUGUCGCAAGACCAAAGAGGGGACCUUCGGGCCUCUUGCCAUCGGAUGUGCCCAGAUGGGAUUAGCUAGUAGGUGGGGUAACGGCUCACCUAGGCGACGAUCCCUAGCUGGUCUGAGAGGAUGACCAGCCACACUGGAACUGAGACACGGUCCAG
RNAcentral lists this ribosomal RNA (227 nucleotides) under uncultured bacterium. Its description in RNAcentral is "partial 16S ribosomal RNA". It matches the Rfam family "Bacterial small subunit ribosomal RNA", at positions 103 to 334 of the family's 1533-position model. The record is from RNAcentral.